AUUGAACGCUGGCGGAAUGCUUUACACAUGCAAGUCGAACGGCAGCACGGACUUCGGUCUGGUGGCGAGUGGCGAACGGGUGAGUAAUGUAUCGGAACGUGCCCAGUCGUGGGGGAUAACGUAGUGAAAAUUACGCUAAUACCGCAUACGAUCUAUGGAUGAAAGCGGGGGAUCGCAAGACCUCGCGCGAUUGGAGCGGCCGAUAUCAGAUUAGGUAGUUGGGGGGGUAAAGGCCCACCAAGCCAACGAUCUGUAGCUGGUCUGAGAGGACGACCAGCCACACUGGAACUGAGACACUGUCCAGACUCCUACGGGAGGCAGCAGUGGGGAAUUUUGGACAAUGGGCGAAAGCCUGAUCCAGCCAUUCCGCGUGCAGGAUGAAGGCCCUCGGGUUGUAAACUGCUUUUGUACAGAAGGAAAAGGUUUCUACUAAUACUAGGAGCUCAUGACGGUACUGUAAGAAUAAGCACCGGCUAACUACGUGCCAGCCGCCGCCGUAA
This 500-nucleotide ribosomal RNA is filed under the name uncultured bacterium. RNAcentral describes it as "partial 16S ribosomal RNA". It matches the Rfam family "Bacterial small subunit ribosomal RNA", at positions 30 to 523 of the family's 1533-position model. The record is from RNAcentral.